UGGGGAAUAUUGGACAAUGGGCGCAAGCCUGAUCCAGCCAUGCCGCGUGAGUGAUGAAGGCCCUAGGGUUGUAAAGCUCUUUCACCGGUGAAGAUAAUGACGGUAACCGGAGAAGAAGCCCCGGCUAACUUCGUGCCAGCAGCCGCGGUAAUACGAAGGGGGCUAGCGUUGUUCGGAUUUACUGGGCGUAAAGCGCACGUAGGCGGACUUUUAAGUUAGGGGUGAAAUCCCGGGGCUCAACCCCGGAACUGCCUUUGAUACUGGAAGUCUUGAGUAUGGUAGAGGUGAGUGGAAUUCCGAGUGUAGAGGUGAAAUACGUAGAUAUUCGGAGGAACACCAGUGGCGAAGGCGGCUCACUGAACCAUUACUGACGCAGAGGUGCGAAAGCGUGGGGAGCAAACAGG
Molecule: ribosomal RNA, 404 nt
Filed under: Actinomycetes bacterium
Lineage: Bacteria; Bacillati; Actinomycetota; Actinomycetes
Description: Actinobacteria bacterium partial 16S ribosomal RNA
Rfam family: Bacterial small subunit ribosomal RNA
Source: RNAcentral